This 253-nucleotide ribosomal RNA is filed under the name uncultured bacterium. RNAcentral's name for it is "partial 16S ribosomal RNA". It matches the Rfam family "Bacterial small subunit ribosomal RNA", at positions 524 to 776 of the family's 1533-position model. The record is from RNAcentral.
UACGAAGGGGGCUAGCGUUGCUCGGAAUCACUGGGCGUAAAGGGUGCGUAGGCGGGUCUUUCAGGCAGGGGUGAAAUCCUGGAGCUCAACUCCAGAACUGCCUUUGAUACUGAAGAUCUUGAGUUCGGGAGAGGUGAGUGGAACUGCGGGUGUAGAGGUGAAAUUCGUAGAUAUUCGCAAGAACACCAGUGGCGAAGGCGGCUCACUGGCCCGAUACUGACGCUGAGGCACGAAAGCGUGGGGAGCAAACAGG